ACGACUGACGGAGCGAAGCGACGUCAAAGCGUUUUACAACGUCGAGUUGGCUUAGGGAUACGUUCGUUGGGUAGGGGAGCGUUCUGUAAGCCGUUGAAGGUGUGUCGUGAGGCAUGCUGGAGGUAUCAGAAGUGCGAAUGCUGACAUAAGUAACGAUAAAGCGGGUGAAAAGCCCGCUCGCCGGAAGACCAAGGGUUCCUGUCCAACGUUAAUCGGGGCAGGGUGAGUCGACCCCUAAGGCGAGGCCGAAAGGCGUAGUCGAUGGGAAACGGGUUAAUAUUCCCGUACUUGGUGUUACUGCGAAGGGGGGACGGAGAAGGCUAUGUUGGCCGGGCGACGGUUGUCCCGGUUUAAGCGUGUAGGUGUGUGUUCCAGGUAAAUCCGGUUCACUUUAACACUGAGGCGUGAUGACGAGGCACCACGGUGCUGAAGCAACAAAUGCCCUGCUUCCAGGAAAAGCCUCUAAGCCUCAGGUAACAUCAAAUCGUACCCCAAACCGACACAGGUGGUCAGGUAGAGAAUACCAAGGCGCUUGAGAGAACUCGGGUGAAGGAACUAGGCAAAAUGGUGCCGUAACUUCGGGAGAAGGCACGCUGACACGUAGGUGAAGUGGUUUACCCAUGGAGCUGAAGUCAGUCGAAGAUACCAGCUGGCUGCAACUGUUUAUUAAAAACACAGCACUGUGCAAACACGAAAGUGGACGUAUACGGUGUGACGCCUGCCCGGUGCCGGAAGGUUAAUUGAUGGGGUCAGCGCAAGCGAAGCUCCUGAUCGAAGCCCCGGUAAACGGCGGCCGUAACUAUAACGGUCCUAAGGUAGCGAAAUUCCUUGUCGGGUAAGUUCCGACCUGCACGAAUGGCGUAAUGAUGGCCAGGCUGUCUCCACCCGGGACUCAGUGAAAUUGAACUCGCUGUGAAGAUGCAGUGUACCCGCGGCAAGACGGAAAGACCCCGUGAACCUUUACUAUAGCUUGACACUGAACACUGGUCCUUGAUGUGCAGGAUAGGUGGGAGGCUUUGAAGUGUGGACGCCAGUCUGCAUGGAGCCAUCCUUGAAAUACCACCCUUUAAUGGCUGGUGUUCUAACGUGGGCCCGUGAACCGGGUUGCGGACAGUGUCUGGUGGGUAGUUUGACUGGGGCGGUCUCCUCCUAAAGAGUAACGGAGGAGCACGAAGGUUGGCUAAUCCUGGUCGGACAUCAGGAGGUUAGUGCAAUGGCAUAAGCCAGCUUGACUGCGAGCGUGACGGCGCGAGCAGGUGCGAAAGCAGGUCAUAGUGAUCCGGUGGUUCUGAAUGGAAGGGCCAUCGCUCAACGGAUAAAAGGUACUCCGGGGAUAACAGGCUGAUACCGCCCAAGAGUUCAUAUCGACGGCGGUGUUUGGCACCUCGAUGUCGGCUCAUCACAUCCUGGGGCUGAAGUAGGUCCCAAGGGUAUGGCUGUUCGCCAUUUAAAGUGGUACGCGAGCUGGGUUUAGAACGUCGUGAGACAGUUCGGUCCCUAUCUGCCGUGGGCGCUGGAAGAUUGAGGGGGGCUGCUCCUAGUACGAGAGGACCGGAGUGGACGCAUCACUGGUGUUCGGGUUGUCAUGCCAAUGGCACUGCCCGGUAGCUACAUGCGGAAGAGAUAAGUGCUGAAAGCAUCUAAGCACGAAACUUGCCCCGAGAUGAAUCUUCCCUGAGCCUUUAAGGCUCCUGAAGGAACGUUGAAGACGACGACGUUGAUAGGCCGGGUGUGUAAGCGCAGCGAUGCGUUGAGCUAACCGGUACUAAUGAACCGUGAGGCUUAACCUUACAAC
Molecule: ribosomal RNA, 1795 nt
Filed under: Salmonella enterica
Lineage: Bacteria; Pseudomonadati; Pseudomonadota; Gammaproteobacteria; Enterobacterales; Enterobacteriaceae
Description: partial 23S ribosomal RNA
Rfam family: Bacterial large subunit ribosomal RNA
Source: RNAcentral